UUUCCGGUUGAUCCCGCCGGAGGCUACCGCUAUUGGAGUUCGAUUAAGCCAUGCGAGUCGCGAGUCUUAGGGACUCGGCGUACCGCUCAGUAACACGUGGGUAACCUGCCCUAUGCUGGGGGAUAACCUCGGGAAACUGAGAAUAAUACCCCAUAGUUCACCACGCCUGGAACGGUGGGUGGACCAAAGCUCCGGCGGCAUAGGAUGGGCCUGCGGCGUAUCAGGUUGUAGGGGGUGUAAUGUACCCUCUAGCCCUCUACGCGUACGGGUGUUGAGAGACAUCGCCCGGAGAUGGAUUCUGAGACACGAAUCCAGACCCUACGGGGUGCAGCAGGCGCGAAAACUUGGCAAUGCGAGAAAUCGUGACCAGGGAACUCCAAGUGCAUCGGGUAAGACCGAUGCUUUUCUUGACUCUUCAAAGGUCUUGGAAUAAGGGGUGGGUAAGGACGGUGCCAGCCGCCGCGGUAAUACCGGCGCCCCAAGUGGUAGUCGCUUUUAUUGGGCCUAAAACGUCCGUAGCCGGUCUGGUACAUUCGUGGGUAAAUCAACCAGCUCAACUGGUUGAAUUCUGCGAGCACGGCCAGACUUGGGACCGGGAGAGGUGUGGGGUACUCUCAGGGUAGGGGUAAAAUCCUGUCAUCCUGAGAGGACCACCUGUUGCGAAGGCGCCACACUAGAACGGAUCCGACGGUCAGGGACGAAGCCUAGGGGCACGAACCGGAUUAGAUACCCGGGUAGUCCUAGGUGUAAACGCUGUGGACUUGAUGUUGGGGGCGCUCCGAGCGCACUCAGUGUCGAAGCGAAGGUGAUAAGUCCACUGCCUGGGGAGUACGGUCGCAAGGCUGAAACUUAAAGGAAUUGGCGGGGGAGCACC
Molecule: ribosomal RNA, 874 nt
Filed under: uncultured archaeon
Lineage: Archaea
Description: bacterial SSU rRNA
Rfam family: Archaeal small subunit ribosomal RNA
Source: RNAcentral